This 429-nucleotide ribosomal RNA is filed under the name uncultured bacterium. RNAcentral's name for it is "bacterial SSU rRNA". It matches the Rfam family "Bacterial small subunit ribosomal RNA", at positions 355 to 776 of the family's 1533-position model. The record is from RNAcentral.
UGGGGAAUAUUGCACAAUGGGCGAAAGCCUGAUGCAGCGACGCCGCGUGGAGGAUGAAGGUUUUCGGAUUGUAAACUCCUGUUAAACGGGAAGAAAGACCCAUGGCUAAUAUCCAUGGGGGAUGACGGUACCGUUAGAGAAAGCACCGGCAAACUUCGUGCCAGCAGCCGCGGUAAUACGAAGGGUGCGAGCGUUAUUCGGAAUGACUGGGUGUAAAGAGCGUGUCGGCGGUUUGGUAAGUCAGUCGUUAAAUAGCCCGGCUUAACCGGGCACAGGCGAUUGAAACUGCUAGGCUAGAGUACAAGAGAGAAGAGUGGAAUUCUCGGAGUAGCGGUAAAAUGCGUAGAUCUCGAGAGGAACACCGGUUGCGAAGGCGGCUCUUUGGCUUGUAACUGACGCUUAAGCGCGAAAGCGUGGGGAGCAAACAGG